CAGAAUUUUCUUUUUAUUUGCAGUAAUGCAUUUUUUUUUAUUUACCAGAAUAGUGCAUUGUUUUUGAUUCCACAGAUAUUAAUCACUACAUAUUUUUCUAUUCUCCACAUCAAUGUGAAAUCUAAUUGCCUCAAGUAGACGGUCAUCUAUAUUUACAUAACUAAGUAGCAAAUGCUUGAAUGCAUUGCAUUUUUCUUUCAAAAGUGCGUCAGCCUCAACGAAUACAUACCAGAAUCAUUAAAAGCUCGUCUGCCUGAGGAUCUGAAGACGCACAUCAUAAGCUCAUCUUUCCUAUGACAUUUUUGCUGAAAAAAGUUGGAACUUAUCUUCACUUGCACAACCAAGCAUGCCAAUCCCUUGGGUAUGUGCAUAUUUCACGUCAAGGAUAGUGUGGUGAUGCGGUUUAAGAUUCUGGUUCACUGUUAAACUUGGCAAUUCCCUCAAUCUCAAUCCAUGGGUAACUCCAUCUGCAUAAGCUAAUAAUGGGCAGCAAUUCUCCAUGUUUACAAUAGCAGACUUUACCAUUUGAACAUAACUUAAGUGUGCAGAUGUUGAUCCCAAUUUAUGAUAAAAGCUGUCAGCUACUCUCUUGACAAGAACUUGAGAUCCCAGUAUUCCUUGUCCGGGAACACUAGAUGACCCUUGAUUUGAGGAUGGCAAAUUAACUGUUGCAAUGGAUGUAUCGUAUUUGGGACGAUAUGAAGCAAGAAUGUCAUCGCUUAAGGGACCAUAAGCAAGUGACGUACAAAUGCCUUGAUUGUCCAAUCCAGGAACUGGAAAUGGCCUCUCUCCAGAGCUAGUGCUCCACACGCAUGGGCCCAAGGAGGAAGCUGUCAGCAAUUUUUGAGCAUCGUGACCCAGAAUUGGGUUAUGCACCAAGGAAUGUAUAGUAUGAAUAGGCUGGGCCGUUAGUCCAACAAUGGAUUGCAAAGGAUUUAUGGUGUGACGCAUAUCAAACACCAAGAGCAUACCAUUCUGCAAGCCAGCAUAGAUACAGUGAGGACUGUUAAGAUCCCAUGCACACGACCAAGCUGGCACCUGGAAGAAACAAUUUUUUUCAGACAAGCAGGUAAAUAAAAUUAAAAGAACUGUCAAUAUGAACAAAAUUUUAAGCUGCAACAGAUAUGAGUCAUUUGUGUAUGUGAAUGCGUGUAUGUAAACAAAUUAAAUAAAAAUUGAAUGAGCUCUCCACAUCAUGUUCUCUUCAUUCUUCCAUGAUGCAGCACCAUAAAAUAGUAAAGGAAAGAGAAUAUCAUUAAAGUCCCAGAAAAAAUAAAUAAAAGAUAGAAAACAGAGUACUGGAUUGCGGUUGACCACUGGCAGUGCCAAAUGGGUCCCUGAUUUCGGCAUAAAUAUAAAAAGAGGUGAAAAAAAAAGUAAUAUACUUGUGAGAAAGCAUUAAAAAGAUUGACCUUUUAAGAUCAUCAACUUCAUCAACUAUGUCCAACCUGGUUACAUAGUCCUCAAUCAUUUUGUGUUUGUUUCAAUUCACUUCAGAAUCUUCUAAAGUCAAUUAUUUUUACUUUCAAUUGUUUAAGUGUAAAGAUUAUGGUUCCUAGCAUCGUACCAAUGCCUAGAUAUUAUAACACCUUUAAUCAAAAGGUGCAUCUGAGUUAAUCUGUUUCUAUUGGGCAUUCAAUGGGCAUGACGCAUAACUAAAUUUGUGCAAGGUGAUAUUUCAUGUCUGUAUGAAAUAAGCAAUUAUUUGUCUUUAGACAAUCUCUCAAAAGGUUAAAUUAUCCUAUCGCCACUUACAAAGGAUCACUGACAAGGAAAGGAAAUUAAAGGCAGGAUCCUUCAUGUCCUUAAGUAUCAUCUGAUCAAAAUGCAGCAAAGCAUUGUAUGAGAGUAAACAGUAUGAGAAGUUAAUCCUUCAGAGUUCUGGUCCCUCAAAUCACAGGUGGUAACGAUGUUGUUGCUUCCCAUGCUAAGUAUUGAUAGUUUCUUCCCGAGUGAAGCCAAAAGGGUGAGUCUACCACAUGGAGAAAUUUUUAAAUCUUUAACAGCUUUUGUGCCAGGAGGAAGCUGUAUAUCCUCGUUUUCAUGAGUAUUAAUCAUAUUAAUUUUGUUGAGCAUGUGUAUUCCACCCAUCCCAGAAAUUCUUCGUGCAAGAAUCAGGUUUUGAUAAGAGACAUUCAUAUCGAAAAGUCUUGCCCCUUCUACAGCCAACUCAUACUGUCAAGGUUAACACUGUUAGAAUCAAACAUGUCGGAUGCAAACUUGUUAAAAAGAACAGUCAACAACAGUCGGUAAUCACGAACAAGGAUAACAAUAGGGGAGCCUUGAAAACCUUUACAUUACGUAAUUACCGUUAUUUGAAACCACGGUCGGUAACAAAAGAGUUGCAUUACAAACUUUUAGAAGUUUAUCUUCCAACUCUCAGCUCAUUGAAAUGUAACUAGAAAACAGUGGAAAACAGGCAUACAUACCUCUAAUAUAAAGGUACAAUGAAGAAGUUGCUGUUUAUGUAAAUUUGAACUGAAGGGAUAUUCAAAUUUUACGUUAUGAGCCUCUUUAACAUUGGCAAAUCCAAAACGUUUACUCCCCAUUUCCACAAAUGACAUGUUCCCCGUACAAGUUUGCUUCUCCUCAAGAUUGCUUAAUUCCUUGAGCAAAUUAUCUUGUAUUUUGAGUAAACUAUCUUGUAUAUGAAGCAAAUCAGCUCUCUCUGUCUUAAGGGAGCCAAUUUCAGCCUCAAGAGAUUGAACUUUCUUGUGUAGAUCUUCAUCAUUAAUUACUACUGGUGAUGCAUAGAGCUUUCUAACGUCCUUUAAUGCGCAAUUUGCAUUGCAUUGAGGACACUUAGCAGAAAUCAAAUGAGGUUGAAUCCAUCUCCUAAUGCAAGAUAAACCAUAUACAUGUCCACAAGGAAGGCAACUGACUUGGUGAUCGCCUUGUGACCCCCAGGGCUCCAUGCAAAUAGGACAACACAACCCAUCCAAAUUGGGCUCCUUCGAGACACUCUUGCUCUUGGUCUCAUCACUAGAAUCCAUCUUCUUCACUGCGGAUGAUGAACAAGGUUCUCUGUGCUCUGUUCUUUUUCCAGGCCAAUCAUCAUCUUCCUGGUCUCGUCCCUCGACUUCGCCGUCGACCAGCAUUGGGAUGGCAGUAUCAUCAGACGACGACGAUGAUGAUGGCUGAAGAGAUACAAAAGGGUGAUCUUGGUAUUCUCGUUGGGAUUGCUGAAAUAAAGAAGCGAACAUUGUGGAGUGGUGGUCUUGAAUUGAGAAGCAGAUAAGUCAAAGUUGGUUCUAGCCACGAGAAAGGGAGAAAGCAGGGGACAACGGCCGAAGUAUUUCUGUGGCCUCUGUCUUGCUCGGUUGUCAACACACUGACGGAGACGAGCUUGCUCUGUAAGUUUCAACACCUCAAACCUCAACAGGCUGAGGUUCAAU
RNAcentral lists this unclassified non-coding RNA (3395 nucleotides) under Hevea brasiliensis (rubber tree). Lineage: Eukaryota; Viridiplantae; Streptophyta; Magnoliopsida; Malpighiales; Euphorbiaceae. The record is from RNAcentral.